GGUCGUUCAGAUGGUAGAACAUUGCCCUAACAACGCAAAGGUUGUGGGUUCAUAUCCCAGGGAAUCA
Molecule: non-coding RNA, 67 nt
Organism: Danionella cerebrum
Lineage: Eukaryota; Metazoa; Chordata; Actinopteri; Cypriniformes; Danionidae
Source: the annotation of a GenBank genome assembly